AAAGCGAGUCUGAAUAGGGCGUUUAGUAUUUGGUCGUAGACCCGAAACCAGGUGAUCUACCCUUGGUCAGGUUGAAGUUCAGGUAACACUGAAUGGAGGACCGAACCGACUUACGUUGAAAAGUGAGCGGAUGAACUGAGGGUAGCGGAGAAAUUCCAAUCGAACCUGGAGAUAGCUGGUUCUCUCCGAAAUAGCUUUAGGGCUAGCCUCAAGUGAUGAUUAUUGGAGGUAGAGCACUGUUUGGACGAGGGGCCCCUCUCGGGUUACCGAAUUCAGACAAACUCCGAAUGCCAAUUAAUUUAACUUGGGAGUCAGAACAUGGGUGAUAAGGUCCGUGUUCGAAAGGGAAACAGCCCAGACCACCAGCUAAGGUCCCAAAAUAUAUGUUAAGUGGAAAAGGAUGUGGCGUUGCCCAGACAACUAGGAUGUUGGCUUAGAAGCAGCCAUCAUUUAAAGAGUGCGUAAUAGCUCACUAGUCGAGUGACACUGCGCCGAAAAUGUACCGGG
Molecule: ribosomal RNA, 507 nt
Filed under: Staphylococcus aureus
Lineage: Bacteria; Bacillati; Bacillota; Bacilli; Caryophanales; Staphylococcaceae
Description: partial 23S ribosomal RNA
Rfam family: Bacterial large subunit ribosomal RNA
Source: RNAcentral